UGGGGAAUAUUGCGCAAUGGGCGAAAGCCUGACGCAGCAACGCCGCGUGUGUGAUGAAGGUCUUCGGAUCGUAAAGCACUGUCGGGAGGGACGAAUAAGGGCCGGAGUAAUAUGACGGUCUGAUGACGGUACCUCCAAAGGAAGCACCGGCUAACUCUGUGCCAGCAGCCGCGGUAAUACAGAGGGUGCAAGCGUUGUUCGGAAUUAUUGGGCGUAAAGCGCGUGUAGGCGGCCAGACCAGUCGGGUGUGAAAGCCCUCGGCUUAACCGAGGAAGUGCGCCCGAAACUAUCUGGCUUGAGUACCGGAGAGGAUGGUGGAAUUCCCGGUGUAGAGGUGAAAUUCGUAGAUAUCGGGAGGAACACCAGUGGCGAAGGCGACCAUCUGGACGGAUACUGACGCUGAGACGCGAAAGCGUGGGGAGCAAACAGG
RNAcentral lists this ribosomal RNA (430 nucleotides) under uncultured prokaryote. RNAcentral's name for it is "bacterial SSU rRNA". It matches the Rfam family "Bacterial small subunit ribosomal RNA", at positions 355 to 776 of the family's 1533-position model. RNAcentral also lists the same sequence under 1 other name. The record is from RNAcentral.